Long non-coding RNA from Syngnathoides biaculeatus (alligator pipefish), 5863 nucleotides. RefSeq lists it as uncharacterized. The record is from RefSeq and is a predicted model, not a curated record. NCBI's taxonomy places the organism in Eukaryota, Metazoa, Chordata, Actinopteri, Syngnathiformes, Syngnathidae. The transcript is spliced from 3 exons.
GAAAACCCGCUUGACAACCAAAGAUAAAUACAGAAAGUUAACACUCAUACUCCUGUGGAUGUGUUAAAAUACAGCAGAGAAAUGUCAUUGACUAUUAACUCUGUAACAGGUAAAAGCAAGUGGCUUGUAGUGGAAGAGGGUUAUAAGUGUGUGUAGAUUAUUGGUUGUUUGUCACUAUGCCCAGUAGGGGACGCACCUCUCCUAAGUGUUAUGGGUUGGGUCCCUUAUCUGCCUUCUUCUAGUAUUGCCUGCAGCAGUCUACGGUAGCCGCUCACCGUGAUACACGUCCUCAGACUUUAAUAAACACUCAUUGCUUCAGAAACCUGUGAUCUCUUAUGCACACACAAGAAGUCACUACCAUUUACAUGGUGCCAGAAGACAGCAGGUACGGACUAUCGCCUGUGAGUAACUUUUUUUCUGGGCCGCUUGUUUUCGUUUUUCAGCGGACCUAUGGUUACUGGCUAGCCGAGCUGAGGACACAAUUUGUUUUUUUGUUUUUUUUUUGCUGAGUCACGGCGUAGGGUUUUUCCAGGCCAGACCCCGUCGUUUUUGAUGAAAAUGUUGCCGAAAGCUGGCGUGUUUUUGAAUGGGAGUACGACAUUUUUAUUGCUGCAGCAAAGAUAAUGGGAUAAUGGAACGGUUAUCACCCUGGUGGAGGCCAGGGAGGAUCCAGAGUGCCUGAAUAGGAAAAUUUAGGGAAAUGUGCAAACCUCAAUGCAACUGGACAGUGGACAGGCACAGAUUUAAUUCAUGGAAACAAAGACAAGGAGCAUCCAGCGGGUGCCAUUCACUACAUGCUUGUCCCUCAUCAGUGCUCGACCCGCAACUUCCACCAUAUGCUCUUGUUCGUGGCACCCGGCCUAUGCUGUCCAACACGCAGCUGCUGCCUAACAACAGCGCCUCUGUGGUGCUCGACCAGGAGCAGCUGGCACCUCUCGACCACAUCUUGGGGUUCGUCAACCAGCAUCAACAGCCGCUCUUUUGGACUUCGGAUACCAACACAAAAUAGCAGUUUCAAGCAACUUUCACCGCAAACAACAUUGCAGACAAGCUAGCAAGACCACCGGGCUCGUCAUGGAUUGUUGUCAAGGUGGCACAGGCGGGUUAGGGAGAAGAAGCAAAAGCGGGGCAGUCAGUCCGGCUGCCUGCUCAGGCUAAGAAACAAUCCACAAGACCACCUCUUCCAAGCCUGUACCUCACCAACUCCAGAUCCAUCGCCAACAAAAUGGACGAGGUGGAAUUACAAUUUACAAAUAAUCGGAGAGUUUGUUAUGUGUGUGUGUAUUUUAUUUCUUUAUUCUCUUUAUUUUCCUUUUAUGCUUUGAAGUUCUUAUGACGCAGGCUUUGUAACGCUGUUUCCUUUUAUACGUCUAAUACAUUAUGACGCAGAACCUUUAUGAUGCCUUUCAUGCUCUUGGGUCAUUUUGAUGUGGAUCCUUUGUAAUGCAGAUCCUUUGUUAUACGGAAUUCUGGAAUGUUCCAAGGUGUGCCUAUAUAAGGACGAGAAAGACAGUCAACGAGGCUUCUUAUGAACUCACCGCUGCUCUAGGACAAAGUACGCUGCUUGUGACUAACUACACGGGGCCUGCUGCCUUGGGUUUUUGGACAUCUCUGGAACAUUCGCUAACUUAGAAUACCCGCUGGAAAAAACAUUUGUCUGUUUGGGGAACAUUCAUUCAACGCUGGUGACUAUUCGCUGUUUUGGCUCGACUAAUCUGUCAGUGAACUUCUGUUUUGUGUUAGCUAUUUCAUCGUGUUUGUGUUCUAUUGAUGUGCGUGACAUUAAAUUGUUUUAACUGCCUUGUCACAUUUUGAGCAAACAGGACGUUAGUCUAAAUUCAUACUUUAGACUAUUUUACCUUUAUUGUACUUUCAUUAUUUGCUUAAAUGUUACCUUAUACAUUUAAUCAACAGAUAAGGUGGUGUCCAUUUGCUAAUCAGACAAGGACGUGUUGUGGAGUGCGGUGCCUGUCCUUAAUCUUUGUCUGUAGAAAACCAGCUGGUGGAAUCCACCUCUCCCAGGCGUUGCCGUGGAGACAAUCAACACCAGAUAAGGAGCAGAAAGUUACUAUCCUGGCCUAGGACCAGGCUGCGGGAGGGCAACCACUUUUACCAUGGACCCAUACAAAUAUAAAAACCUUAUGUAACAGGGCAGCUUUUGUCUUCUUCUUUGGGCUAUCCUGCCAGAAGACAGAGGUCUUGUGUGUGGCAGAAACCAAGAUAAGACCCGGACGUCUGUAUUGCACAUUCCUUUGUAAUUAAUCCACUUGCGUUAACUUUGUCUAAUCAUUGGUCACCUCUUCCUCGAUCCGUGAAAAUGCGUAGGGUCCAAACUUCCAAAUCCCUGCAAUUUCUUGGUGGCCCGACCGUAAGUCGAGGGAGGUAAACGGGCGUUGGCCAUCGACAGAUGAUAUUUUUUGGAUACAUAUGAGAAACACAGGAGUGUUUUUACAGACAGGUCGAGGGUGAUCCGUCUGUACUUCUGACUUCUCCAGGUCGCAGCCAAAACCAAAGGAUCUCAUGUUUACAGACCUCAAUAUCCUUAGCCCGCGGCUGCUAACCAGGGGAUGGAGGACACUCUCCCUGGCCUGUGGAAUUCUGGACUCCUGGAAACAUCCACCUCCUCGUGGUGUACACCACUCAUGCCAGUUUUAAAAGCAGAUGGUAACACUUAUCGUAUGGCACAUGAUUUGAGAGCCGUUAAUGAUGUAACGACCACACCAUUGUUACCUCUACCAGACCCCCACAGAAUGUUGUUUCCCAUCACACCUGAUUUGAAAUACUUCACAGCGAUUGAUUUGGCAAAUGCAUUCUUCUGUGUCCCACCCGCACCCGAGUGUUUGCAUUCAUAUAUCAGGGACACAAUUUGCAAUACACCAGGUUGCCACAAAGCUUCAAAAAUUCACAUGGAAUUUUUAAUCAAUGUUUGAAAUAAUUGCUGCAGGAUCUAAAACUCCCAGAUGGAUGUAAACUCCUGAUGUAUGUUGAUGACCUCCUGUUGGCAGCCCCAACAGCAGAGUCUUGUUUGUCUCUAACUCAACUUGUUUUGCUCUAUUUACAUGAGCUGGGAUUCAAAGCCUCCAGAAAGAAGCUUCAGGGAUUGAAAACGUCAUGUCCUGAUGUAUUGUAGCAUUCCACUAGAUCCAACGAUUAGACAAGCCCUGGCCAAACAUUCAGCGGUGGCUAUCGUCAAGGUCCCUGGCCACUCCAAAUCAACUUCAACGACAGCCCUUGGCAAUAAUCCUACCGACUUGGGUGCCAAGCAGGCUGCGGGCUAUGUCCCACAGAUGCUUGUCCAAUUAUCUGACAAAUCCUCUCCUGACCUGCCUGAACCUCCGUCUCAUAGUGAAUUGCUUAAAAUAUAGCCCAACACCCCUCCUAAACAAAAGAUUAUUUGGCGUGCUGGCUUAGGCCUCUAUGGCCAGCCAAUGUUACCUGAUGGACCUUUACUCUGUGAUGUUUUGACCGAAACUCACUCUAUGGCUCAUAUUGGACCCAGAGCCAUGCUAACCAAACUUUGCAUUUGGUGGCAUCCUAAAAUGUCUGACUUGUGUCACGCCCACUGUCGUGACUGUAAUAUUUGCCAGCUACACAAUGUUUGCCCCACACUUAGACCGUUGCAGGGUGAUUUGACCCACCCACCUGGCCCGGUGGUGAACUGGUCAUGGAUUUCACAGACAUGAUCACUCCUGUUCAAGGGAAGCACUACCUUCUUGUUUUUGUUGAUAACUUUUCCGGAUGGCUUGAAGCCUAGUCCUGUGUUCCCGAAGACCCCAUGUCGGUAUUGAAAGCUUUGGUGAACCACUGGAUUCUAACGAACGGUUUCCCCACUCUCAUCCGCUCGGGCAACAGUACACAUUUCACAUCCCCACACCUAGCUACCGCAGAGACGUGGUUAGGGUUAACUCACAAGUUUGGUUGUGUUUAUCACCCCGCCAGUCAAGGUUCGGUUGAACGUAUGAAUCGCAUGUUGAAGGAAAAACAGGCUAAAAUAUGUACCUCUUCCAGCAUGAAUUGGGUCCAGGCUCUCCUCCUUGCUCUAAAGUCUGUGAGACAAACUGUGAUUCGCUUGACUGGUUUCUUCCCUUACGAACUUCUUUCAGGUCGUCUGAUGCCUGGCCCUUCCGCCUCACUCAAACUGCUGGCGGAGGGCGUUGUGUCUCCCAAGUUUUGACAUAAACUUUUUUGGACACAACUGCAUUCUUUUGCUUCUAAUUUCUCAUUCCAGAUCACGACUCUCUUCCAUCACCACCUCCUACACUUGAUCUUCCUGAGUGGUCAUCUGUCUACCUAAAAUGACUCUCUCAUAAGUGGUCAGAACCCCAUUGGUCUGGCCACCACAAUGUAACUGCUUGUACCUCCAAAGCAGUUUGCUUGGAGAGAAAGGAACUACGUGGUUUCAUUAUUCUAUGCGUCACCCUGCUACAGACUCUUACUUGCACUUUUAUUUUAUUGUUUGUUGUCGUUUUAUUGUUAACCAUGAUUCCUACGGAUGGUCCGAUUCCUUUUCGGAGCAAGAGAAGGAGAGCAGGAAUUCAUGGCAUUAUUAUUAUUGGUGUUAUUUUUGUUUCUUGUAUUUUGAUCUGGGAAAUCGCUCAAAAAUACUCCCUACCCACACUCACAUCAGUGCCAGCUGUUACGCGCAGUAAACAAUAAUUGGUUACUAAUGUUAGAACAAGCAGCUAUUAAAACCCCGAGUGACUGUGUUGUAUAUUUGCGACCUAGACCUUUGUUACGUGUCGUUUCCUCUUCUGUCAACUCCACCUGUGUUCUAGAUCUUAUGAAAAAUUAUGUGCCGACUAAAAAUGAAUGCAAAAUUUGGGAUACUGCCCACCCGGUAACACCAGCCCACAAGAACAAUGACAACAAUUAUGGCUUUCCAAAAUAGAAUCGCAGUAGAUGCACUGUUGGCCCAGAAAGAAGGUGUUUGCCGAAUAACACCCCAUGUUUGCCGAAUAACACCCCAUCUGCCGGAUGCCUCACUAAGAUGGACUUAGAACCCUUACUAAGAAAAUGAAGGAACAGUCUGGUGUUGACACGUCGAUGUGGGAUAACUGGAUGAAUGUGUUUGGUAAAUGGGUGUCAUUUCAUCAAUCUUCAUCUCUCUGGUUGUCUUCACCUCUAUUUUUACUCUCUGUGGAUGCUGUUGCAUUCCUUGUAUUCGUUCUCUUUUAACCUGUCUGAUUGAGAAGGUGACUAGUGCCCCAGCUGAUGGCCACGAUAAUUAUGUCCUCAUUAGACCGCCGCCCCAACACACUCCUCAAGAUGAUUUUAUUGUUGUUGUCACUCCCCUUGAAAAUGAUGCUGAACUUCCACCGCUUCCUGAUUGUCAUGAUGUUGACAUGCCCCGUGAUUGCAUUGCCCUUGGCCUUCUGUUCUACUGAUACUUUUUGCGUGAUAUUACUUUUUUUUAGAAAUGUUUUGCUGUUUUUCAGUUGUCUAGUACUGUCCUGCAGGUUUAAAGCUUACCGGUGUUCUGAACCAUGAGACUAUGCACUUGUUAAAAGGUAUAUUUGGAUGAUUAGAGAGGGUUUUAUGUUUUCCCUAUUUCUUGAAGUGUUACUUUGGUGAUUUUCUUGUUUGUUUUUGUGAUCUAUUUAAUAGCUCAAGAGAAGGAAUGAAGACUAUUUUACUUUUAUUGUACUUUCAUUAUUUGCUUAAAUAUGACAUUAUACAUUUAAUCAACAGAUAAGGCGUUGUCCAUUUGCUAAUCAGACAAGGAUAUGUUGCAGAGCACGGUGGCUGUCCUUGAUCUUUGUACCCAGAAAACCGGCUGGUGGCAUCCUCCUCACCCGGGCAUUGCCGUGGAAACGAACGACACUAGAUUAAGGAGCGUAAAGUUACUAUCCGGCCCAGGAGCAGA